Molecule: ribosomal RNA, 404 nt
Filed under: uncultured bacterium
Lineage: Bacteria
Description: partial 16S ribosomal RNA
Rfam family: Bacterial small subunit ribosomal RNA
Source: RNAcentral
CCUACGGGAGGCAGCAGUAGGGAAUAUUCGUCAAUGGGCGCAAGCCUGAACCAGCAAUGCCGCGUGAACGAGGAAGGCCUUCGGAUUGUAAAGUUCUGUUAAUCGGGAAAAAGAUCGUAGGGAGGAUAUCGUCUCCGAUUGACGUUACCGAUCGAGGAAGCCCCGGCUAACUCCGUGCCAGCAGCCGCGGUAAUACGUAGGUUGCAAGCGUUAAGCGGAAUUAUUGGGCGUAAAGGGUGCGUAGGCGGGCGGUUUAGUCAGAUGUGAAAUGUACCGGCUUAAACCGGUAAUUGCUUCUGAUACUGGUCGGCUAGAGGGUAGGAGAGGGGGGUGGAAUUCCAUGUGUAGCGGUGGAAUGCGUAGAUAUGUGGAAGAACACCGGUGGCGAAGGCGGCCGCCUGGAC